UACGUAGGUGGCAAGCGUUAUCCGGAUUUAUUGGGCGUAAAGGGAACGCAGGCGGUCUUUUAAGUCUGAUGUGAAAGCCUUCGGCUUAACCGGAGUAGUGCAUUGGAAACCGGGCGACUUGAGUGCAGAAGAGGACAGUGGAACUCCAUGUGUAGCGGUGGAAUGCGUAGAUAUAUGGAAGAACACCAGUGGCGAAGGCGGCUGUCUGGUCUGCAACUGACGCUGAGGCUCGAAGGCAUGGGUAGCGAACAGG
This 253-nucleotide ribosomal RNA is filed under the name uncultured bacterium. RNAcentral describes it as "partial 16S ribosomal RNA". It matches the Rfam family "Bacterial small subunit ribosomal RNA", at positions 524 to 776 of the family's 1533-position model. The record is from RNAcentral.